RNAcentral lists this microRNA precursor (194 nucleotides) under Oryza nivara. Its description in RNAcentral is "MIR812 microRNA precursor family". It matches the Rfam family "MIR812 microRNA precursor family". The record is from Rfam by way of RNAcentral. Lineage: Eukaryota; Viridiplantae; Streptophyta; Magnoliopsida; Poales; Poaceae.
AAUAAGCACAACCAUGAGUUUCCGUAUUCAAUUUUAAUCAUUCGUCUUAUUUAAAAUUUUUUAUAAUUAAUAUUUUUAUUGCUAUUAGAUUAUAAAACAUGAAUUGACUUAUGUUUUUUAGUUUUUCAAAACAAAAAAAAUCAAAUAAGACGGACGAUUAAAGUUGGACACGGAAACUCAUAGUUGCAUUUAUU